Molecule: ribosomal RNA, 115 nt
Filed under: Candidatus Saccharibacteria bacterium CG_4_10_14_0_2_um_filter_52_9
Lineage: Bacteria; Candidatus Saccharimonadota
Source: RNAcentral
UCUGGUGACCAUGGCGAAGGUUUAAAACCUGUUCCCAUUCCGAACACAGACGUGAAGCCCUUCAGCGGCGAUGGUACUUUGGCUUAAGCCACGGGAGAGUAGCACAUUGCCAGGU